This 93-nucleotide microRNA precursor is filed under the name Equus asinus (donkey). RNAcentral's name for it is "mir-544 microRNA precursor family". It matches the Rfam family "mir-544 microRNA precursor family". The record is from Rfam by way of RNAcentral. RNAcentral also lists the same sequence under 1 other name. Lineage: Eukaryota; Metazoa; Chordata; Mammalia; Perissodactyla; Equidae.
AUCACCCAGGGACCUUGUUAAAUGCAGAUUCUGAUUCAGCAAGUCUGGAGCAGGCCAAGAUUCUGCAUUUGUAACAAGCUCUCAGGAUGCUAC